This 440-nucleotide ribosomal RNA is filed under the name uncultured bacterium. RNAcentral's name for it is "partial 16S ribosomal RNA". It matches the Rfam family "Bacterial small subunit ribosomal RNA", at positions 338 to 795 of the family's 1533-position model. The record is from RNAcentral.
CCUACGGGGGGCUGCAGUCGGGAAUUUUGCUCAAUGGGGGAAACCCUGAAGCAGCAACGCCGCGUGAGGGAUGAAGGCCUUCGGGUCGUAAACCUCUUUUGCCGAGGACGAUGAUGACGGUACUCGGUGAAUAAGCCACGGCUAACUACGUGCCAGCAGCCGCGGUAAUACGUAGGUGGCAAGCGUUGUCCGGAUUUACUGGGCGUAAAGAGCGCGCAGGCGGUCGUCCAAGUCGAAUGUGAAAGCCCCCGGCUCAACUGGGGAGGGUCAUUCGAUACUGUUCGACUCGAAGGCAGGAGAGGGAAGUGGAAUUCCGGGUGUAGUGGUGAAAUGCGUAGAUAUCCGGAGGAACACCAGUGGCGAAGGCGACUUUCUGGCCUGUUCUUGACGCUGAGGCGCGAAAGCUAGGGGAGCAAACGGGAUUAGAUACCCCAGUAGUC